AGAGUUUGAUCAUGGCUCAGGAUGAACGCUGGCGGCGUGCUUAACACAUGCAAGUCGAACGAAGCACUUAACUUGAUUUUCUUCGGAACUGAUUGUUUUGUGACUGAGUGGCGGACGGGUGAGUAACGCGUGGGUAACCUGCCUCACACAGGGGGACAACAGCUGGAAACGGCUGCUAAUACCGCAUAAGCGCACAGCUUCGCAUGGAGCAGUGUGAAAAACUCCGGUGGUGUGAGAUGGACCCGCGUCUGAUUAGCUGGUUGGCAGGGUAACGGCCUACCAAGGCGACGAUCAGUAGCCGACCUGAGAGGGUGACCAGCCACAUUGGGACUGAGACACGGCCCAAACUCCUACGGGAGGCAGCAGUGGGGAAUAUUGCACAAUGGGCGAAAGCCUGAUGCAGCGACGCCGCGUGAGCGAAGAAGUAUUUCGGUAUGUAAAGCUCUAUCAGCAGGGAAGAAAAUGACGGUACCUGACUAAGAAGCUCCGGCUAAAUACGUGCCAGCAGCCGCGGUAAUACGUAUGGAGCAAGCGUUAUCCGGAUUUACUGGGUGUAAAGGGAGCGUAGGCGGCAGGGCAAGUCUGAUGUGAAAACCCGGGGCUCAACCCUGGGACUGCAUUGGAAACUGUUCAGCUGGAGUGUCGGAGAGGCAAGCGGAAUUCCUAGUGUAGCGGUGAAAUGCGUAGAUAUUAGGAGGAACACCAGUGGCGAAGGCGGCUUGCUGGACGAUGACUGACGCUGAGGCUCGAAAGCGUGGGGAGCAAACAGGAUUAGAUACCCUGGUAGUCCACGCCGUAAA
RNAcentral lists this ribosomal RNA (800 nucleotides) under uncultured bacterium. RNAcentral describes it as "bacterial SSU rRNA". It matches the Rfam family "Bacterial small subunit ribosomal RNA", at positions 8 to 806 of the family's 1533-position model. The record is from RNAcentral.